RNAcentral lists this long non-coding RNA (348 nucleotides) under Vitis vinifera (wine grape). Its description in RNAcentral is "long non-coding RNA (VVIN_LNC007776)". The record is from RNAcentral. Lineage: Eukaryota; Viridiplantae; Streptophyta; Magnoliopsida; Vitales; Vitaceae.
CAUAAGUUGCGGUACUAAAUCAAAAUUUUCUUUAUUUACAACAGACAUAUUUACAUAAGCUAAAUAUAUAACAAAGAAAAAUUCAGGGUCAUGAUAUGCCAUAUACCCUGUUUUUAUACCGGCAUUUUUAGUUCUAAAAUGUUUAUACAAAAGUUCUUGAUUUUUAAACACUUUGUUAUAUUGGUUUUGUAGAAAAAAGGUUUUGACGAAAGAAUAGUUAUCAAUUCCAAUUAUAUUUUUAACAACAAGCCUUUCAUAUUGUUCAGUCAGAAGAGCUGAUUUCUUAAUUAAACUAAUUACUUCAGGUUGACUGUUUGAACAGCUGGUUUGAUUGGUUGACACUAUACU